Molecule: ribosomal RNA, 505 nt
Filed under: uncultured bacterium
Lineage: Bacteria
Description: partial 16S ribosomal RNA
Rfam family: Bacterial small subunit ribosomal RNA
Source: RNAcentral
AUUGAACGCUGGCGGCAGGCCUAACACAUGCAAGUCGAACGGUAGCACAGAGGAGCUUGCUCCUUGGGUGACGAGUGGCGGACGGGUGAGUAAUGUCUGGGAAACUGCCCGAUGGAGGGGGAUAACUACUGGAAACGGUAGCUAAUACCGCAUAACGUCUUCGGACCAAAGUGGGGGACCUUCGGGCCUCACACCAUCGGAUGUGCCCAGAUGGGAUUAGCUAGUAGGUGGGGUAAUGGCCCACCUAGGCGACGAUCCCUAGCUGGUCUGAAAGGAUGACAAGCCACACGGGAACGAGGAAAGGGUCCAGACUCCUAAGGGAGGCAGCAGUGGGGAAUAUUGCACAAUGGGCGCAAGCCUGAUGCAGCCAUGCCGCGUGUAUGAAGAAGGCCUUCGGGUUGUAAAGUACUUUCAGCGGGGAGGAAGGCGUUAAGGUUAAUAACCUGGCGAUUGACGUUACCCGCAGAAGAAGCACCGGCUAACUCCGUGCCAGCCGCCGCAGUAA